Molecule: long non-coding RNA, 285 nt
Filed under: Olea europaea (common olive)
Lineage: Eukaryota; Viridiplantae; Streptophyta; Magnoliopsida; Lamiales; Oleaceae
Description: long non-coding RNA (OEUR_LNC010959)
Source: RNAcentral
CAAAAAAUAGUUUAAGUUUGGGGGAUUUGAUAAGUAUGUUUUUACACACUUAUUUGGUUCACAAACAUGACUUAAACAUGGAUAAAAUGAUUGAAUUGUGACUUAAUCUCAUUGAAUUCAUGCAAUGUAGGUGUUUCUAUGGAAAUAGUGGAAUUCAGGAGAAGAGAGCCGAAAAAGGACUAAAAUGGAGCAAAGUGAUAGUUCAGGGACUAAGGAUGCAAAUAUUCGAAAGUUGAACUAAAAGACAACUCGGGAAUGCAAAUAUGCUAAGUAUGAACUUGAAAG